Molecule: long non-coding RNA, 487 nt
Filed under: Chloebia gouldiae (Gouldian finch)
Lineage: Eukaryota; Metazoa; Chordata; Aves; Passeriformes; Passeridae
Description: Erythrura gouldiae (Gouldian finch) lncRNA (ENSEGOG00005012614.1)
Source: RNAcentral
GCAUCAGGAGCAUAGCACAAACCACAGAGUGUGGACAAGCCGUCCCUGGAGAUGAGAGUAGUGCAGCUGAGCCACCGUGGGAUAAGGCAAGGAGAGUGUGACUUCACAGUGAUGUGUGUCAAUGUCACACAGGCCCAAGGAGAGAUACUGCUUUGACUACUAACUUGGUUCCUGAGGGGCUUUCUUCUUUGCCCUCCCUCCAGAGCCCAGUAUCAAGAUUUUCCUGGAGCCACCUCCCUUCCUGUCCAGGCUCAUCACCUUUCAUCCUUCCUGAAGGAUAGCCAUUACCACCAAACACAUGGAACUGCAUCAAUACCAAGCCCUGCUACUAAACCUCCAAGAACAUUCUCACCUGGAAAAGGCUACUGGCUUGUAAUGUUCACAAACUGGGGCAUGUGUGCUUUGGAAGACUGCAAGCAUCACUCCUCCCUGCAGUCCUCAGAAAUCAAGUGAGGGAAUCAGUGAACUGUCCAGGAGUAAUGUUCUC